RNAcentral lists this ribosomal RNA (253 nucleotides) under uncultured bacterium. RNAcentral describes it as "partial 16S ribosomal RNA". It matches the Rfam family "Bacterial small subunit ribosomal RNA", at positions 524 to 776 of the family's 1533-position model. The record is from RNAcentral.
UACGUAGGGUGCAAGCGUUAAUCGGAAUUACUGGGCGUAAAGCGUGCGCAGGCGGCUUUGCAAGACAGAUGUGAAAUCCCCGGGCUUAACCUGGGAACUGCAUUUGUGACUGCAUGGCUGGAGUGCGGCAGAGGGGGAUGGAAUUCCGCGUGUAGCAGUGAAAUGCGUAGAGAUGCGGAGGAACACCGAUGGCGAAGGCAGCCCCCUGGGCUGACACUGACGCUCAGGCACGAAAGCGUGGGGAGCAAGCAGG